GUCCACAGCCCCAGGAGGCCGCCUGAGUAAGGACCUCUGCGUUCGCGAGUUCGAGGCCCUGCGGAGCUGCUUCGCUGAAGCGGCCAAGAAGACCAUGAUGGGAGGCUCCUAGGAAGAGNGGUGGGCACAAGGGCCCUGUCCUGACAGCAUGCAUAUGGGCAGCAGAGUUCCUGCUGUGUUAUGGCUCCUCCCACCCUGAACCGUGGGCAGGGCAGGGCAGGGCAGGGCUGUUUACCAGCAGUGUGUAUGAGGAUCUGGAUUUGGUUAAGAUGAAACAUGAAGAUGAUUUAAUUUUGUACA
Long non-coding RNA from Mus pahari (shrew mouse), 300 nucleotides. RefSeq lists it as uncharacterized. The transcript has 2 exons. The record is from RefSeq and is a predicted model, not a curated record. Lineage: Eukaryota; Metazoa; Chordata; Mammalia; Rodentia; Muridae.